CCUCCCUAAUCGCCGAACCCUUCCUCACCUUAUCUCGUCGCUGCCCCGAUUAUUCCUCCUCUCUCGCGCCGUUUACUCUCUGCUCUUCUUCUUCUCCUCAUCUUCUCCAACCGGCACCCCUUUCUCUUCUUCCGCGUCAUCUUCCCUCCUCUGCCAUCGUCUCCUCGUCGCGGAGGUCCUCAUCGUGCCGAUUGUCACGAGAGCACCGCCGGCAACAGUCCUUCUCUCCGCGAGCCUCACCAACACCAAGCUCUCUGGGCUAUCAGGCAGCCCGAUCCUCUUCUACAUUUUCCCCUUGCAUCUCUGCCCUAGAUGCAGUAAGCGUCAUCGCAUCCGACCACAAUACCUGCAAUUUGGGUGGCUAGCGUCGCCGCCAUCUCUUUCACCGGCUGCCACUUCUUCCUCUUCCAUCUGCCACCUUCGGAGAGCUGAGUACACAGGAGAGUAGGGUUGUUCUUCCGCGUAUCAGCAGUUGCAAGGGGUUACCACGCAUUGCCCCCUUCAAUUGUGUCGUGGCCAUCUGGUCAGCCACAAGGAGAUCCAUUGCUGCGGUGACCCCAUUUGUGUUUGGAUUUGUGUCAAUGUUGUGUAUCAGUGAAUUCUGAGGCAGUGAGGGUUGUUGGACAGAUUUACCAUCGUCGGAAGAGCCACAAACUGCUAAUAAGGAUUUUCUCAACAAAAUUGGUUAGUUCAUUAAUCUGUACAAGAGAAGCAAUUUAUCUCAUGAAAUUCGAAGACAGGGAGAGCAAAAAGAAGAAAUUGAAGGCAUGGAUGCUAUUAGCUCGAGAAUGGAGGAACAAAAUAUUGAAAAGGAAAACAAACUUGUUAUUACAGAAAGUAGGCAGAGGGAAGAAAAUCUCAAGGAGAUUAUUCGGAAAUGAUUCAAGAAAUGGAAUGUACAAAUCAUUUAUAUCUAGGAAAAUUUAGUCUUUAUAGUUUGAUUAUUAGUCAAAUUUGUUUGGAUAAUGUAAAUAUUUAUUUAUUUUAAUGUUAAUUGUAUAAUACAUUUGGAAUUAGAAGUUAUUUCUUUUUAAUAA
Molecule: long non-coding RNA, 1037 nt
Organism: Zingiber officinale
Lineage: Eukaryota; Viridiplantae; Streptophyta; Magnoliopsida; Zingiberales; Zingiberaceae
Exons: 3
Source: RefSeq, a predicted model, not a curated record